CAUCCUAGAUCGAUGAUGAAGAAGAAGAAGCAACUCCAAAUAAACAAUCUACGCGCUCGCGUCAUAUAACCUUUACCUGUACCUGCAACUGGUGUUGUAGUAAUCUUUGAGUCACAGGGGACUCAGCAAUCUCAUUUUCAAAGGUAUCAAGACUAGCAAAGCUUAUUAGGUGAGGCAUGGUAAAGUGGUGAGGUUGCAGCAGCGGCUAAGCAUAUAUUUGGUGGCUAAACUUACGAGUACAAGAAAUAAGAGAGGGAAGUACUACGCAUAGCGGACAUGAACUACGAAUGAUCAAAUGAAUGAUCCUGAACACCUACCUACGUCAGACAUAACCCCACCGUGUCCUCGAUCGGAGAAGAAACUCACGAAAGAGAUAGUCACGGUUACGCACACAGUUGGCAUAUUUUAAUUAAGUUAACUUCAAGUUAUCUAGAACCAGUGUUAAAUAAAGUUUUCACGUUGCCACAUAACCGCGGGCACGGCUUUCCGAAAAGAUUUUAACCCUGCAGGGGUGCUCCAACUAGUCCACCACAAAUUACCACAAGCCGCAUAGAAAUCCUCAAUCAUGAAGCUCACGAUCUUGUCGGAUUCCCUAGUGGAAAACCUCAACUCUGAGAUUACCCAAAGCAUCAUCGGAAUCCCGAUGCACAAGAUAUCUCGUUAAAGGUAAAACUAAUCCAGCAAGGCCACCCGGUGUGUCGACGAACCCGAUAGGAGCCGUGUAUCUCGUUUUCAGGACACACCGUUUAUGCAUAGUGGACGGUAGCCAAACCUCGAGUUGCCCCGAGGUGGCACCGCCGACUGCUAGGUGGGUGGACCAACACUCAUGCGGAGCACUGGCCCGGGGGGUUGAUUAAAUUAUCCUCGGUGUCCGAAAGUCUCUAUGCAAUUUUAUUAGGUUAUUAGGAAAAUGUAGGGGCAUUAAAUUAAAUAGCAUUUAAUAUGCUGAUAUAACAAGGAACCCAUGCUUUCACAUGGAAGCAUCUGCACCUGCAACUAGCAACACUAACACAGGGUUAAGCAAGCGGUAACAUAGCCAAUCAAUGGUUUGUUAGGUUGAACAGGUUGAAGGUUUCAUGGCUGUCACGCCCAAGAUGCGACCCUAUCCUCAAUUUGACACGAAGGCCUCGUCAGGGAUAGAAGCGCAUCUCGUCGUGUCGCAAGAAUGGAUAUCGUCACAAGUACAAGUACUGAAAAGAAGAGAUAUAUAAAGAGUUGGCUAACACUCGCCACAAGCUACAUCAGAGUCACAUCAGUACAUUACAUAAUCAUCAAGAGUAAGAGCAGGGUCCGACUACGGACGAAAACAAACGACAAAAGAAGAACAACGUCCAUCCUUGCUAUCCCAGGCUGCCGGCCUGGAACCCAUCCUAGAUCGUUGAAGAAGAAGAAGAAGAAGCAACUCCAAAUGAACAAUCAACGCGCUCGCGUCAAGAAAUCUUAACCUGUACCUGCAACUGGUGUUGUAGUAAUCUGUGAGCCACAGGGGACUCAGCAAUCUCAUUUCCAAAGGUAUCAAGACUAGCAAAGCUUAAUGGGUGAGGUAUGGUUAAGUGGUGAGGUUGCAGCAGCGGCUAAGCAUAUAUAUGGUGGCUAACUUACGAGUACAAGAAGUAAGAGGGGGAAGAUCUACGCAUAACGGACGUGAACUACUGUUGAUCAAAUGAAUGAUCCUGAACACCUACCUACGUCAGACAUAACCCCACCGUGUCCUCGAUCGGAGAAGGAACUCACGAAAGAGACAGUCACGGUUACGCA
Molecule: long non-coding RNA, 1758 nt
Filed under: Hordeum vulgare
Lineage: Eukaryota; Viridiplantae; Streptophyta; Magnoliopsida; Poales; Poaceae
Description: long non-coding RNA (HVUL_LNC019425)
Source: RNAcentral